RNAcentral lists this transfer RNA (76 nucleotides) under Clostridiales bacterium. RNAcentral describes it as "tRNA-Val". It matches the Rfam family "tRNA". Rfam says of the family: Transfer RNA (tRNA) molecules are approximately 80 nucleotides in length. Their secondary structure includes four short double-helical elements and three loops (D, anti-codon, and T loops). Lineage: Bacteria; Bacillati; Bacillota; Clostridia; Eubacteriales. RNAcentral also lists the same sequence under 2 other names. The record is from RNAcentral.
GGACAUUUAGCUCAGUUGGUAGAGCAUCCGCUUGACGUGCGGAAGGUCAGCGGUUCGAGCCCGUUAAUGUCCACCA